This 219-nucleotide ribosomal RNA is filed under the name Triticum aestivum (bread wheat). Its description in RNAcentral is "partial small subunit ribosomal RNA". Lineage: Eukaryota; Viridiplantae; Streptophyta; Magnoliopsida; Poales; Poaceae. The record is from RNAcentral.
AUGAAGGUUGUUGUGGUCGUUCUCCUGCUUCUUGUGACCACAGAGGACCAGGGACCAGUCCAUCUAGCUUUGGCUAGGGACUGUCAGUCAAAGAGCUUCAAGUUCAAGGGGAUGUGUGUGCGCGAUGACAACUGUGCAACUGUUUGCCUGGUCGAGGGUUUCACCGGAGGCAAGUGCAAGGGCUUUUGGCAUCGUUGUUACUGCACCAAGGACUGCUAG